This 48-nucleotide non-coding RNA is filed under the name Schistosoma mattheei. The record is from RNAcentral. Lineage: Eukaryota; Metazoa; Platyhelminthes; Trematoda; Strigeidida; Schistosomatidae.
AUCUAUUUGACAAGUCCCAAAUAAGACGAAACGUGCGUCAAUUUGGAU